RNAcentral lists this ribosomal RNA (492 nucleotides) under uncultured bacterium. RNAcentral's name for it is "partial 16S ribosomal RNA". It matches the Rfam family "Bacterial small subunit ribosomal RNA", at positions 29 to 507 of the family's 1533-position model. The record is from RNAcentral.
AGUGAACGCUGGCGGUAGGCCUAACACAUGCAAGUCGAACGGCAGCACAGUAAGAGCUUGCUCUUACGGGUGGCGAGUGGCGGACGGGAGAGGAAUACAUCGGAAUCUACUUUUUCGUGGGGGAUAACGUAGGGAAGCUUACGCUAAUACCGCAUACGACCUACGGGUGAAAGCAGGGGAUCUUCGGACCUUGCGCGAUUGAAUGAGCCGAUGUCGGAUUAGCUAGUUGGCGGGGUAAAGGCCCACCAAGGCGACGAUCCGUAGCUGGUCUGAGAGGAUGAUCAGCCACACUGGAGCUGAGACACGGUCCAGACUCCUACGGGAGGCAGCAGUGGGGAAUAUUGGACAAUGGGCGCAAGCCUGCUCCAGCCAUACCGCGUGGGUGAAGAAGGCCUUCGGGUUGUAAAGCCCUUUUGUUGGGAAAGAAAAGCAGCAGGUUAAUACCCCGCUGUUCUGACGGUACCCAAAGAAUAAGCACCGGCUAACUUCGUG